Molecule: ribosomal RNA, 761 nt
Filed under: uncultured bacterium
Lineage: Bacteria
Description: bacterial SSU rRNA
Rfam family: Bacterial small subunit ribosomal RNA
Source: RNAcentral
AUUGAACGCUGGCGGCAGGCUUAACACAUGCAAGUCGAACGGUAACAGAAAGAAAGCUUGCUUUCUUUGCUGACGAGUGGCGGACGGGUGAGUAAUGCUUGGGAAUCUGCCUUAUGGAGGGGGAUAACUACGGGAAACUGUAGCUAAUACCGCGUAAUAUCUACGGAUUAAAGUAUGGGAUCUUCGGACCAUAUGCCAUAAGAUGAGCCCAAGUGAGAUUAGGUAGUUGGUGAGGUAAAGGCUCACCAAGCUGACGAUCUCUAGCUGGUUUGAGAGGAUGACCAGCCACACUGGAACUGAGACACGGUCCAGACUCCUACGGGAGGCAGCAGUGGGGAAUAUUGCACAAUGGGCGCAAGCCUGAUGCAGCCAUGCCGCGUGAAUGAAGAAGGCUUUCGGGUUGUAAAGUUCUUUCAGCGAUGAGGAAGGUGCUAUAUCUAAUAGGUGUAGCAAUUGACGUUAGUCGCAGAAGAAGCACCGGCUAACUCCGUGCCAGCAGCCGCGGUAAUACGGAGGGUGCGAGCGUUAAUCGGAAUAACUGGGCGUAAAGGGCACGCAGGCGGUUGUCUAAGUCAGAUGUGAAAGCCCCGAGCUUAACUUGGGAAUUGCAUUUGAGACUGGGCGACUAGAGUCCUCUAGGGAGGGGUAGAAUUCCACGUGUAGCGGUGAAAUGCGUAGAGAUGUGGAGGAAUACCGAAGGCGAAGGCAGCCCCUUGGAGAGAGACUGACGCUGAGGUGCGAAAGCGUGGGUAGCAAACAGG